CGUUCUAUGGUGUAAUGGUUAGCACUUCAGACUCUGAUAAUCUGAGUUCAAAUCUCAGUAGGACCU
RNAcentral lists this transfer RNA (66 nucleotides) under Daphnia pulex (common water flea). It matches the Rfam family "tRNA". Rfam says of the family: Transfer RNA (tRNA) molecules are approximately 80 nucleotides in length. Their secondary structure includes four short double-helical elements and three loops (D, anti-codon, and T loops). The record is from Rfam by way of RNAcentral. Lineage: Eukaryota; Metazoa; Arthropoda; Branchiopoda; Diplostraca; Daphniidae.